AAGCACAUUUCUUGUGUGACCGCGUACUUUUUGUAGAACGGGCCAACGAGUUACGUUAAGUAGCAAGGUUAAGCACUUAAGGUGCGGAGCCGUAGCGAAAGCGAGUUUUAACUGAGCGUUCAGUUACUUGACGUAGACCCGAAACCGGGCGACCUACCCAUGAGCAGGAUGAAGCGAAAGUAAAAUUUCGUGGAGGUCCGAACCCACGAGCGUUGAAAAGCUCGGGGAUGACUUGUGGGUAGCGGUGAAAUUCCAAUCGAGCCCGGAGAUAGCUGGUUCUCCCCGAAAUAGCUUUAGGGCUAGCCUCAAGGUGAGAGAUACGGAGGUAGAGCACUGAAUGUCCUAGGGGGUAUUGCACCUACCGAAGACUAUCAAACUCCGAAUGCCGUCAUCUUAUACUUGGGAGUCAGACUGUGGGUGAUAAGAUUCAUAGUCGAAAGGGCAACAGCCCAGAUCGUCAGCUAAGGUCCCUAAAUGUAAGUUAAGUGGUAAAGGAUGUGGGAUUGCACAGACAACCAGGAUGUUGGCUUAGAAGCAGCCACUCAUUCAAAGAGUGCGUAAUAGCUCACUGGUCGAGUGAUCCUGCGCCGAAGAUUUCCGGGGCUAAAACUUACUACCGAAGCUACGGCAUCAGUAAUGAUGGGUAGGGGAGCUUCCCAUACGGGUUGAAGCAUGACCGUAAGGACAUGUGGACAGUAUGGGAGUGAGAAUGUUGGCAUGAGUAGCGAGAUGUGGGUGAGAAUCCCACAGGCCGUAAACCCAAGGUUUCCAGGGGAAGGUUCGUCCGCCCUGGGUUAGUCGGGACCUAAGCUGAGGCCGAAAGGCGUAGGUGAUGGACAACAGGUUGAUAUUCCUGUACUACCGAUAACCGUUUGAGAGAAGGGAUGACACAGUAGGAUAAGCUAAGCACACUGUUGGUUAUGUGUGCCCAAGCAUUGAGGCAGUCAAAGUAGGCAAAUCCGCUUUGAUAAUGCUGGGAUGUGAUGGGGAGCGAAAUUUAGUAGCGAAGUAGCUGAUUUCACACUGUCAAGAAAAGUCUCUAUCGAGGUUAAAGGUACCCGUACCGCAAACCGACACAGGUGGGUGAGGAGAGUAUCCUAAGGCCAGCGAGAGAACUGUUGUUAAGGAACUCGGCAAAAUGACCCCGUAACUUAGGGAUAAGGGGUGCCACCAUCAGGUGGCCGCAGAGAAUAGGCCCAAGCGACUGUUUACCAAAAACAUAGGUUUCUGCUAAGUCGCAAGACGAUGUAUAGGAGCUGACGCCUGCCCGGUGCUGGAAGGUUAAGGGGAUCUGUUAGAGCAAUCGAAGCAGUGAACUUAAGCCCCAGUAAACGGCGGCCGUAACUAUAACGGUCCUAAGGUAGCGAAAUUCCUUGUCGGGUAAGUUCCGACCCGCACGAAAGGCGUAACGAUUUGGGCACUGUCUCAACAACAGACUCGGUGAAAUUGUAAUUCCGGUGAAGAUGCCGGAUACCUGCGACAGGACGGAAAGACCCCAUGGAGCUUUACUGUAGCUUGACAUUGGGUCUUGGUACUACAUGUACAGGAUAGGUGGGAGGCUUUGAAACCAGGACGCCAGUUUUGGCGGAGCCAUCCUUGGGAUACCACCCUUGUAGUACUGGGACUCUAACCAUAGGCCAUGAAUCUGGUCUUGGGACACUGUCAGGUGGGCAGUUUGACUGGGGCGGUCGCCUCCCAAAAGGUAACGGAGGCGCUCAAAGGUUCUCUCAGUACGGUCGGAAAUCGUACGUAGAGUGUAAAGGCAAAAGAGAGCUUGAUUGCAAGACAUACAGGUCGAGCAAGGAUGAAAAUCGGACUUAGUGAUCCGGUGGUUCUGCGUGGAAGGGCCAUCGCUCAACGGAUAAAAGCUACCCUGGGGAUAACAGGCUUAUCUCCCCCAAGAGUCCACAUCGACGGGGAGGUUUGGCACCUCGAUGUCGGCUCAUCACAUCCUGGGGCUGUAGUAGGUCCCAAGGGUUGGGCUGUUCGCCCAUUAAAGUGGUACGCGAGCUGGGUUCAGAACGUCGUGAGACAGUUCGGUCCCUAUCCGUCGCAGGCGUAGGAAAUUUGAGAAGACCUGUCCUUAGUACGAGAGGACCGGGAUGGACG
RNAcentral lists this ribosomal RNA (2109 nucleotides) under Clostridioides difficile. RNAcentral describes it as "partial 23S ribosomal RNA". It matches the Rfam family "Bacterial large subunit ribosomal RNA", at positions 577 to 2703 of the family's 2925-position model. The record is from RNAcentral. Lineage: Bacteria; Bacillati; Bacillota; Clostridia; Peptostreptococcales; Peptostreptococcaceae.